GACGGAGGUCCCGAGCGUUGUUCGGAAUUAUUGGGCUUAAAGCGCGUGUAGGCGGAGCCGUAAGUACCUUGUGAAAUCCCCGUGACUCAAUCCGGGAACUGCUUGGUAUACUGCGAUUCUCGAGGCAGGUAGAGGUCACUGGAACCUUAGGUGGAGCGGUGAAAUGCGUAGAUAUCUAAGGGAACGCCUGUGGCGAAAGCGGGUGACUGGGCCUGUCCUGACGCUGAGACGCGAAAGCGUAGGGAGCAAACGGG
This 254-nucleotide ribosomal RNA is filed under the name uncultured bacterium. RNAcentral's name for it is "partial 16S ribosomal RNA". It matches the Rfam family "Bacterial small subunit ribosomal RNA", at positions 524 to 776 of the family's 1533-position model. The record is from RNAcentral.